This 256-nucleotide ribosomal RNA is filed under the name uncultured bacterium. RNAcentral's name for it is "partial 16S ribosomal RNA". It matches the Rfam family "Bacterial small subunit ribosomal RNA", at positions 524 to 776 of the family's 1533-position model. The record is from RNAcentral.
UACGUAGGGUGCGAGCGUUGUCCGGAAUUAUUGGGCGUAAAGGGCUCGUAGGCGGUUUGUCGCGUCGGGAGUGAAAUCCACUGGCUUAAACUGGUGGGCUUGCUUUCGAUACGGGCAGACUGGAGGUAUGCAGGGGAGAACGGAAUUCCUGGUGUAGCGGUGGAAAUGCGCAGAUAUCAGGAGGAACACCGGUGGCGAAGGCGGUCUCUGGGCGAUGUCCUGACGCUGAGGAGCGAAAGUGUGGAGAGCGAACAGG